GAUGAACGCUGGCGGCGUGCUUAACACAUGCAAGUCGAACGGAGUGCUCAUGACGGUAGGAGUUCGUCCAAACGGAUUGAGUUACUUAGUGGCGGACGGGUGAGUAACGCGUGAGGAACCUGCCUCGGAGAGGGGAAUAACGAAUCUGAAAAGAUUGCUAAUACCGCAUAACAUAUACGAAUCGCAUGGUUUGUAUAUCAAAGAUUUUAUCGCUCAAAGAUGGACUCGCGUCCGAUUAGUUAGUUGGUGAGGUAACGGCUCACCAAGACCGCGAUCGGUAGCCGGACUGAGAGGUUGAACGGCCACAUUGGGACUGAGACACGGCCCAG
Molecule: ribosomal RNA, 329 nt
Filed under: uncultured bacterium
Lineage: Bacteria
Description: bacterial SSU rRNA
Rfam family: Bacterial small subunit ribosomal RNA
Source: RNAcentral